AAAUUGAAGAGUUUGAUCAUGGCUCAGAUUGAACGCUGGCGGCAGGCCUAACACAUGCAAGUCGAACGGUAACAGGAAGCAGCUUGCUGCUUCGCUGACGAGUGGCGGACGGGUGAGUAAUGUCUGGGAAACUGCCUGAUGGAGGGGGAUAACUACUGGAAACGGUAGCUAAUACCGCAUAAUGUCGCAAGACCAAAGAGGGGGACCUUCGGGCCUCUUGCCAUCGGAUGUGCCCAGAUGGGAUUAGCUUGUUGGUGGGGUAACGGCUCACCAAGGCGACGAUCCCUAGCUGGUCUGAGAGGAUGACCAGCCACACUGGAACUGAGACACGGUCCAGACUCCUACGGGAGGCAGCAGUGGGGAAUAUUGCACAAUGGGCGCAAGCCUGAUGCAGCCAUGCCGCGUGUAUGAAGAAGGCCUUCGGGUUGUAAAGUACUUUCAGCGGGGAGGAAGGGAGUAAAAUUAAUACCUUUGCUCAUUGACGUUACCCGCAGAAGAAGCACCGGCUAACUCCGUGCCAGCAGCCGCGGUAAUACGGAGGGUGCAAGCGUUAAUCGGAAUUACUGGGCGUAAAGCGCACGCAGGCGGUUUGUUAAGUCAGAUGUGAAAUCCCCGGGCUCAACCUGGGAACUGCAUCUGAUACUGGCAAGCUUGAGUCUCGUAGAGGGGGGUAGAAUUCCAGGUGUAGCGGUGAAAUGCGUAGAGAUCUGGAGGAAUACCGGUGGCGAAGGCGGCCCCCUGGACGAAGACUGACGCUCAGGUGCGAAAGCGUGGGGAGCAAACAGGAUUAGAUACCCUGGUAGUCCACGCCGUAAACGAUGUCGACUUGGAGGUUGUGCCCUUGAGGCGUGGCUUCCGGAGCUAACGCGUUAAGUCGACCGCCUGGGGAGUACGGCCGCAAGGUUAAAACUCAAAUGAAUUGACGGGGGCCCGCACAAGCGGUGGAGCAUGUGGUUUAAUUCGAUGCAACGCGAAGAACCUUACCUGGUCUUGACAUCCACGGAAGUUUUCAGAGAUGAGAAUGUGCCUUCGGGAACCGUGAGACAGGUGCUGCAUGGCUGUCGUCAGCUCGUGUUGUGAAAUGUUGGGUUAAGUCCCGCAACGAGCGCAACCCUUAUCCUUUGUUGCCAGCGGUCCGGCCGGGAACUCAAAGGAGACUGCCAGUGAUAAACUGGAGGAAGGUGGGGAUGACGUCAAGUCAUCAUGGCCCUUACGACCAGGGCUACACACGUGCUACAAUGGCGCAUACAAAGAGAAGCGACCUCGCGAGAGCAAGCGGACCUCAUAAAGUGCGUCGUAGUCCGGAUUGGAGUCUGCAACUCGACUCCAUGAAGUCGGAAUCGCUAGUAAUCGUGGAUCAGAAUGCCACGGUGAAUACGUUCCCGGGCCUUGUACACACCGCCCGUCACACCAUGGGAGUGGGUUGCAAAAGAAGUAGGUAGCUUAACCUUCGGGAGGGCGCUUACCACUUUGUGAUUCAUGACUGGGGUGAAGUCGUAACAAGGUAACCGUAGGGGAACCUGCGGUUGGAUCACCUCCUUACCUUAAAGAAGC
This 1554-nucleotide ribosomal RNA is filed under the name Escherichia coli. Its description in RNAcentral is "bacterial SSU rRNA". It matches the Rfam family "Bacterial small subunit ribosomal RNA". The record is from RNAcentral. Lineage: Bacteria; Pseudomonadati; Pseudomonadota; Gammaproteobacteria; Enterobacterales; Enterobacteriaceae.